UACGUAGGGGGCAAGCGUUGUCCGGAUUUAUUGGGCGUAAAGAGCGUGUAGGCGGCUAGAUAGGUCCGUUGUGAAAACUCGAGGCUCAACCUCGAGACGUCGAUGGAAACCAUCUGGCUAGAGUCCGGAAGAGGAGAGUGGAAUUCCUGGUGUGGCGGUGAAAUGCGCAGAUAUCAGGAGGAACACCGGUGGCGAAGGCGGCUCACUGGCCCGAUACUGACGCUGAGGCACGAAAGCGUGGGGAGCAAACAGG
This 253-nucleotide ribosomal RNA is filed under the name uncultured bacterium. RNAcentral describes it as "partial 16S ribosomal RNA". It matches the Rfam family "Bacterial small subunit ribosomal RNA", at positions 524 to 776 of the family's 1533-position model. The record is from RNAcentral.